AGAGUUUGAUCCUGGCUCAGGAUGAACGCUGGCGGCGUGCUUAACACAUGCAAGUCGAACGAAGCACUUUAACCUGAUUCUUCGGAUGAAGGUUUUUGUGACUGAGUGGCGGACGGGUGAGUAACGCGUGGGUAACCUGCCUCAUACAGGGGGAUAACAGUUAGAAAUGACUGCUAAUACCGCAUAAGACCACAGAGCCGCAUGGCUCAGUGGGAAAAACUCCGGUGGUAUGAGAUGGACCCGCGUCUGAUUAGGUAGUUGGUGGGGUAACGGCCUACCAAGCCAACGAUCAGUAGCCGACCUGAGAGGGUGACCGGCCACAUUGGGACUGAGACACGGCCCAAACUCCUACGGGAGGCAGCAGUGGGGAAUAUUGCACAAUGGGGGAAACCCUGAUGCAGCGACGCCGCGUGAGCGAAGAAGUAUUUCGGUAUGUAAAGCUCUAUCAGCAGGGAAGAAAAUGACGGUACCUGACUAAGAAGCACCGGCUAAAUACGUGCCAGCAGCCGCGGUAAUACGUAUGGUGCAAGCGUUAUCCGGAUUUACUGGGUGUAAAGGGAGCGUAGACGGCUGUGUAAGUCUGAAGUGAAAGCCCGGGGCUCAACCCCGGGACUGCUUUGGAAACUAUGCAGCUAGAGUGUCGGAGAGGUAAGUGGAAUUCCCAGUGUAGCGGUGAAAUGCGUAGAUAUUGGGAGGAACACCAGUGGCGAAGGCGGCUUACUGGACGAUGACUGACGUUGAGGCUCGAAAGCGUGGGGAGCAAACAGGAUUAGAUACCCUGGUAGUCCACGCCGUAAACG
This 800-nucleotide ribosomal RNA is filed under the name uncultured bacterium. Its description in RNAcentral is "bacterial SSU rRNA". It matches the Rfam family "Bacterial small subunit ribosomal RNA", at positions 8 to 808 of the family's 1533-position model. The record is from RNAcentral.